GCAGCCUCCCCUGAUCCCAAAGGCCAAGUUCAGCUCCUCCUCUAACCUGAUCGAUCACAACUCUCGACGUGGCCAUUCUUGUGAUCUCUUCAGUAAUCUGGUACAGGUGUCUCUCGCAGAGCUUAGGGCAUGAGCUCUGUUAGGGCAGGAACCUUGACUCUGGAUUUCGACACACUUCCUGGCCCAGACUAGGUGACAAGCAAAUGUUGACCCAGUGGAAGAAUGGAUAUGCCAGUUGCAUUGAACACCAUCCACCAGCCUCUCAGUCAUCACAGACUUUGGGCACAAAAGAAAGCCCAGCUCCUGGAUUCUGCCAGGGCAAGGAGCAGACCCACUUCCUGCAACAACUCCAAGGCUUACCACUGGAUAAUAGGAGAAUAGAGCACAGGGAGAGGAAAAGAAAAGCUACUGCUUUUCAAGAACCAGGAGGCAGAAGAAGGGGAGGGGGUGCAGGCGAGAGAACUGCCCAGGCACACAUGCAGGACCAGGGCAAGUGGAGACAUUCCUUCACACGCACUGCGGCAGAGAACCCUCAGGAACUCCGGACUCCCCCAUGCUCCCCUGGGACCAUCAGACCAAGCCCUACCCUCCACAGGCCCGAAACCACCACAGGAGACAAGCAAGAGGACACUUAACCUCCG
Molecule: long non-coding RNA, 641 nt
Organism: Bos taurus (domestic cattle)
Lineage: Eukaryota; Metazoa; Chordata; Mammalia; Artiodactyla; Bovidae
Source: Ensembl